GGUUCGAUGGCGUAGUUGGUUAUCGCAUCCGUCUUACACACAAAAGGUCCCCAGUUCGAGCCCGGGUUGAAUCA
RNAcentral lists this transfer RNA (74 nucleotides) under Lentinula guzmanii. It matches the Rfam family "tRNA". From Rfam's summary of the family: Transfer RNA (tRNA) molecules are approximately 80 nucleotides in length. Their secondary structure includes four short double-helical elements and three loops (D, anti-codon, and T loops). The record is from Rfam by way of RNAcentral. Lineage: Eukaryota; Fungi; Basidiomycota; Agaricomycetes; Agaricales; Omphalotaceae.